RNAcentral lists this ribosomal RNA (468 nucleotides) under uncultured bacterium. RNAcentral's name for it is "partial 16S ribosomal RNA". It matches the Rfam family "Bacterial small subunit ribosomal RNA", at positions 28 to 507 of the family's 1533-position model. The record is from RNAcentral.
GACGAACGCUGGCGGCGUGCUUAACACAUGCAAGUCGAACGGAAAGGCCCUGCCUUUGUGGGGUGCUCGAGUGGCGAACGGGUGAGUAACACGUGAGUAACCUGCCCUUGACUUUGGGAUAACUUCAGGAAACUGGGGCUAAUACCGGAUAGGAGCUCCUGCCGCAUGGUGGGGGUUGGAAAGUUUCGGCGGUUGGGGAUGGACUCGCGGCUUAUCAGCUUGUUGGUGGGGUAGUGGCUUACCAAGGCGUUGACGGGUAGCCGGCCUGAGAGGGUGACCGGCCACAUUGGGACUGAGAUACGGCCCAGACUCCUACGGGAGGCAGCAGUGGGGAAUAUUGCACAAUGGGCGGAAGCCUGAUGCAGCAACGCCGCGUGCGGGAUGACGGCCUUCGGGUUGUAAACCGCUUUCGCCUGUGACGAAGCGUGAGUGACGGUAAUGGGUAAAGAAGCACCGGCUAACUACGUG